AAGGGAGACCUAAUUCAGGUAUGGGACGAAAAAAAAGUAGUCGCUACCAAGAAUCAAUCCCAAAAGGUCGGAGCGAGGUAUGAGGCUUUCAAACUAGGUUCUGGGUUCAAACAAGACCUGAAUCAGGAACAAGGGCUAUUAGCUCAGGUGGUUAGAGCGCACCCCUGAUAAGGGUGAGGUCCCUGGUUCGAGUCCAGGAUGGCCCACCUGCACAGGUGGCAAAAACAAGAGAAGCUCCGAAUCAGCACCUUAUCUUAUAUACAUAUAUAAGAGAGAAUGCUGGCUCUGAGUACAGAGUCCAGAGGAACCUUGAAAACUGCAUAGAGCUAGGUGAAAAAGCCAAAAAAGAAGACCGCAA
Molecule: transfer RNA, 358 nt
Filed under: uncultured Microcystis sp.
Lineage: Bacteria; Bacillati; Cyanobacteriota; Cyanophyceae; Chroococcales; Microcystaceae
Description: partial 16S-23S ribosomal RNA intergenic spacer
Rfam family: tRNA (bases 133-206)
Source: RNAcentral